UACGAAGGGGGCUAGCGUUGCUCGGAAUUACUGGGCGUAAAGGGCGCGUAGGCGGACAGUUUAGUCAGAGGUGAAAGCCCAGGGCUCAACCUUGGAAUAGCCUUUGAUACUGGCUGUCUUGAGUUCGGGAGAGGUGAGUGGAAUGCCGAGUGUAGAGGUGAAAUUCGUAGAUAUUCGGCGGAACACCAGUGGCGAAGGCGACUCACUGGCCCGAUACUGACGCUCAGGCGCGAUAGCGUGGGGAUCAAACAGG
Molecule: ribosomal RNA, 253 nt
Filed under: uncultured bacterium
Lineage: Bacteria
Description: partial 16S ribosomal RNA
Rfam family: Bacterial small subunit ribosomal RNA
Source: RNAcentral